RNAcentral lists this ribosomal RNA (253 nucleotides) under uncultured bacterium. Its description in RNAcentral is "partial 16S ribosomal RNA". It matches the Rfam family "Bacterial small subunit ribosomal RNA", at positions 524 to 776 of the family's 1533-position model. The record is from RNAcentral.
GACGAACCGAGCGAACGUUAUUCGGAAUCACUGGGCUUAAAGGGCGCGUAGGCGGGCGGCCGAGUCCGGGGUGAAAGCCCCCAGCUCAACUGGGGAAGUGCCUUGGAUACUGGUCGCCUCGAGGGAGAUAGGGGCGUGCGGAACUUCCGGUGGAGCGGUGAAAUGCGUAGAUAUCGGAAGGAACACCGGUGGCGAAAGCGGCGCGCUGGAUCUCUUCUGACGCUGAGGCGCGAAAGCCAGGGGAGCGAACGGG